RNAcentral lists this ribosomal RNA (826 nucleotides) under uncultured Staphylococcus sp. Its description in RNAcentral is "bacterial SSU rRNA". It matches the Rfam family "Bacterial small subunit ribosomal RNA", at positions 75 to 887 of the family's 1533-position model. The record is from RNAcentral. Lineage: Bacteria; Bacillati; Bacillota; Bacilli; Caryophanales; Staphylococcaceae.
GAAGCUUGCUUCUCUGAUGUUAGCGGCGGACGGGUGAGUAACACGUGGAUAACCUACCUAUAAGACUGGGAUAACUUCGGGAAACCGGAGCUAAUACCGGAUAAUAUUUUGAACCGCAUGGUUCAAAAGUGAAAGACGGUCUUGCUGUCACUUAUAGAUGGAUCCGCGCUGCAUUAGCUAGUUGGUAAGGUAACGGCUUACCAAGGCAACGAUGCAUAGCCGACCUGAGAGGGUGAUCGGCCACACUGGAACUGAGACACGGUCCAGACUCCUACGGGAGGCAGCAGUAGGGAAUCUUCCGCAAUGGGCGAAAGCCUGACGGAGCAACGCCGCGUGAGUGAUGAAGGUCUUCGGAUCGUAAAACUCUGUUAUUAGGGAAGAACAUAUGUGUAAGUAACUGUGCACAUCUUGACGGUACCUAAUCAGAAAGCCACGGCUAACUACGUGCCAGCAGCCGCGGUAAUACGUAGGUGGCAAGCGUUAUCCGGAAUUAUUGGGCGUAAAGCGCGCGUAGGCGGUUUUUUAAGUCUGAUGUGAAAGCCCACGGCUCAACCGUGGAGGGUCAUUGGAAACUGGAAAACUUGAGUGCAGAAGAGGAAAGUGGAAUUCCAUGUGUAGCGGUGAAAUGCGCAGAGAUAUGGAGGAACACCAGUGGCGAAGGCGACUUUCUGGUCUGUAACUGACGCUGAUGUGCGAAAGCGUGGGGAUCAAACAGGAUUAGAUACCCUGGUAGUCCACGCCGUAAACGAUGAGUACUAGGUGUCGGGGGUUACCCCCCUCGGUGCCGCAGCUAACGCAUUAAGUACUCCGCCUGGGGAGUACGCAC